RNAcentral lists this unclassified non-coding RNA (245 nucleotides) under plant metagenome. Its description in RNAcentral is "partial contains small subunit ribosomal RNA, internal transcribed spacer 1, and 5.8S ribosomal RNA". The stretch from base 1 to 54 matches the Rfam family "Eukaryotic small subunit ribosomal RNA", at positions 1778 to 1831 of the family's 1831-position model. The record is from RNAcentral.
GGAAGCAAAAGUCGUAACAAGGUUUCCGUAGGUGAACCUGCGGAAGGAUCAUUAAAGAGAAUAUGCCCUUCGGGGUAGAUCUCCCACCCUUUGUUUAUAUUACCUUUGUUGCUUUGGCAGGCCCGUCUUCGGACCACCGGCUUCGACUGGUCAGUGCUUGCCAGAGGACCCAAAACUCUUAUUAUUAAUGUCGUCUGAGUACUAUAUAAUAGUUAAAACUUUCAACAACGGAUCUCUUGGUUCUG